RNAcentral lists this ribosomal RNA (395 nucleotides) under uncultured bacterium. RNAcentral's name for it is "bacterial SSU rRNA". It matches the Rfam family "Bacterial small subunit ribosomal RNA", at positions 114 to 518 of the family's 1533-position model. The record is from RNAcentral.
CGCGUAAGCAAUCUGCCUUUGUGGUGUGGAAUAACAACCGGAAACAGUUGCUAAUACCGCAUAACGCAGAGAGGAUCGCAUGGUCUUUCUGCCAAAGAUUUAUCGCACGAAGAUGAGCUUGCGGUCCGGAUUAGAUAAGUUGGCGGGGUAACGGCCCACCCAAGUCAACGAUCGGUAGCCGGACUGAGAGGUUGAACGGCCACAUUGGAACUGAGAUACGGUCCAGACUCCUACGGGAGGCAGCAGUGGGGAAUAUUGGGCAAUGGACGAAAGUCUGACCCAGCGACGCCGCGUGAGGGAAGAAGGUCUUCGGAUUGUAAACCUUAGUCAACAGGGACGAAGCAAGUGACGGUACCUGUGGAGGAAGCCACGGCUAACUACGUGCCAGCCGCCGC